GGGGCUGGGGCCGGGACAGAGC
This 22-nucleotide microRNA is filed under the name Mus musculus (house mouse). Its description in RNAcentral is "mmu-miR-762". Its record names the gene mmu-miR-762. The record is from miRBase by way of RNAcentral. Lineage: Eukaryota; Metazoa; Chordata; Mammalia; Rodentia; Muridae.